RNAcentral lists this ribosomal RNA (253 nucleotides) under uncultured bacterium. Its description in RNAcentral is "partial 16S ribosomal RNA". It matches the Rfam family "Bacterial small subunit ribosomal RNA", at positions 524 to 776 of the family's 1533-position model. The record is from RNAcentral. RNAcentral also lists the same sequence under 1 other name.
UACGGAGGGGGCUAGCGUUAUUCGGAAUUACUGGGCGUAAAGCGCACGUAGGCGGAUCAGAAAGUCAGAGGUGAAAUCCCAGGGCUCAACCUUGGAACUGCCUUUGAAACUUCUGGUCUUGAGGUCGAGAGAGGUGAGUGGAAUUCCGAGUGUAGAGGUGAAAUUCGUAGAUAUUCGGAGGAACACCAGUGGCGAAGGCGGCUCACUGGCUCGAUACUGACGCUGAGGUGCGAAAGCGUGGGGAGCAAACAGG